RNAcentral lists this ribosomal RNA (484 nucleotides) under uncultured bacterium. RNAcentral describes it as "partial 16S ribosomal RNA". It matches the Rfam family "Bacterial small subunit ribosomal RNA", at positions 30 to 507 of the family's 1533-position model. The record is from RNAcentral.
AUUGAACGCUAGCGGGAUGCUUUACACAUGCAAGUCGAACGGCAGCGCGGACUUCGGUCUGGCGGCGAGUGGCGAACGGGUGAGUAAUGUAUCGGAACGUGCCCAGUAGCGGGGGAUAACUACGCGAAAGCGUAGCUAAUACCGCAUACGCCCUACGGGGGAAAGCAGGGGAUCGUAAGACCUUGCACUAUUGGAGCGGCCGAGAUCGGAUUAGCUAGUUGGUGAGGUAACGGCUCACCAAGGCGACGAUCCGUAGCUGGUUUGAGAGGACGACCAGCCACACUGGGACUGAGACACGGCCCAGACUCCUACGGGAGGCAGCAGUGGGGAAUUUUGGACAAUGGGGGCAACCCUGAUCCAGCCAUCCCGCGUGUGCGAUGAAGGCCUUCGGGUUGUAAAGCACUUUUGGCAGGAAAGAAACGUCGCGGGCUAAUACCCCGUGGAACUGACGGUACCUGCAGAAUAAGCACCGGCUAACUACGUG